ACGAGUUUUAAUUGUUAGGUUAGAGUUGAGCUGGUUAAUCUAAUUAAUAUGUGCUUACUCUAAUCGAAACAAGUCCACUCAUUACUUAACACUUGUGAACUUAUUCACUACAAACCUUCUAUGUUAUAGGAAUGUUUCUGCUUAUAACCAGUUAUAUA
Molecule: unclassified non-coding RNA, 158 nt
Filed under: soil metagenome
Description: partial internal transcribed spacer 1
Source: RNAcentral